This 1414-nucleotide ribosomal RNA is filed under the name Salmonella enterica subsp. houtenae. RNAcentral's name for it is "partial 23S ribosomal RNA". It matches the Rfam family "Bacterial large subunit ribosomal RNA", at positions 1542 to 2925 of the family's 2925-position model. The record is from RNAcentral. Lineage: Bacteria; Pseudomonadati; Pseudomonadota; Gammaproteobacteria; Enterobacterales; Enterobacteriaceae.
CCGGUUCACUUUAACACUGAGGCGUGAUGACGAGGCACCACGGUGCUGAAGCAACAAAUGCCCUGCUUCCAGGAAAAGCCUCUAAGCCUCAGGUAACAUCAAAUCGUACCCCAAACCGACACAGGUGGUCAGGUAGAGAAUACCAAGGCGCUUGAGAGAACUCGGGUGAAGGAACUAGGCAAAAUGGUGCCGUAACUUCGGGAGAAGGCACGCUGACACGUAGGUGAAGUGGUUUACCCAUGGAGCUGAAGUCAGUCGAAGAUACCAGCUGGCUGCAACUGUUUAUUAAAAACACAGCACUGUGCAAACACGAAAGUGGACGUAUACGGUGUGACGCCUGCCCGGUGCCGGAAGGUUAAUUGAUGGGGUCAGCGCAAGCGAAGCUCCUGAUCGAAGCCCCGGUAAACGGCGGCCGUAACUAUAACGGUCCUAAGGUAGCGAAAUUCCUUGUCGGGUAAGUUCCGACCUGCACGAAUGGCGUAAUGAUGGCCAGGCUGUCUCCACCCGGGACUCAGUGAAAUUGAACUCGCUGUGAAGAUGCAGUGUACCCGCGGCAAGACGGAAAGACCCCGUGAACCUUUACUAUAGCUUGACACUGAACACUGGUCCUUGAUGUGCAGGAUAGGUGGGAGGCUUUGAAGUGUGGACGCCAGUCUGCAUGGAGCCAUCCUUGAAAUACCACCCUUUAAUGGCUGGUGUUCUAACGUGGGCCCGUGAACCGGGUUGCGGACAGUGUCUGGUGGGUAGUUUGACUGGGGCGGUCUCCUCCUAAAGAGUAACGGAGGAGCACGAAGGUUGGCUAAUCCUGGUCGGACAUCAGGAGGUUAGUGCAAUGGCAUAAGCCAGCUUGACUGCGAGCGUGACGGCGCGAGCAGGUGCGAAAGCAGGUCAUAGUGAUCCGGUGGUUCUGAAUGGAAGGGCCAUCGCUCAACGGAUAAAAGGUACUCCGGGGAUAACAGGCUGAUACCGCCCAAGAGUUCAUAUCGACGGCGGUGUUUGGCACCUCGAUGUCGGCUCAUCACAUCCUGGGGCUGAAGUAGGUCCCAAGGGUAUGGCUGUUCGCCAUUUAAAGUGGUACGCGAGCUGGGUUUAGAACGUCGUGAGACAGUUCGGUCCCUAUCUGCCGUGGGCGCUGGAAGAUUGAGGGGGGCUGCUCCUAGUACGAGAGGACCGGAGUGGACGCAUCACUGGUGUUCGGGUUGUCAUGCCAAUGGCACUGCCCGGUAGCUACAUGCGGAAGAGAUAAGUGCUGAAAGCAUCUAAGCACGAAACUUGCCCCGAGAUGAAUCUUCCCUGAGCCUUUAAGGCUCCUGAAGGAACGUUGAAGACGACGACGUUGAUAGGCCGGGUGUGUAAGCGCAGCGAUGCGUUGAGCUAACCGGUACUAAUGAACCGUGAGGCUUAACCUUACAAC